GGGGCCGUCGUACAGUGGUCAGUAUGCCGGUUGUCGGGGGAAAGAUCGGGCAACCCUCCUGCGACAACGCCGAUCCCAGCAGGCCCACCUCGGGUUCUGUUGGGCUGACGGGACCGUCUGCCUCCUACCGCAUCCUUGUCCUCCCCGCACACACCGGAGACGCGGGUUCAAUCCCCGCUGGCCCCA
This is a non-coding RNA of Dioszegia hungarica, 186 nucleotides long. Lineage: Eukaryota; Fungi; Basidiomycota; Tremellomycetes; Tremellales; Bulleribasidiaceae. The record is from the annotation of a RefSeq genome assembly.